RNAcentral lists this ribosomal RNA (262 nucleotides) under uncultured bacterium. RNAcentral describes it as "partial 16S ribosomal RNA". It matches the Rfam family "Bacterial small subunit ribosomal RNA", at positions 338 to 616 of the family's 1533-position model. The record is from RNAcentral.
CCUACGGGACGCAGCAGUGGGGAAUAUUGCACAAUGGGGGAAACCCUGAUGCAGCAACGCCGCGUGAGUGAGGAAGUAUUUCGGUAUGUAAAGCUCUAUCAGCAGGGAAUAGAAAAGAAGGUACCUGAAAAAGAAGCCCCGGCUAACUACGUGCCAGCAGCCGCGGUAAUACGUAGGGGGCAAGGGUUAUCCGGAUUUACUGGGUGUAAAGGGAGCGUAGACGGAAAGGCAAGUCAGAAGUGAAAGCCCAAGGCUCAACCAU